AGCGGGAGACCACCCCCCGGUGCCGCGGGCGUCGGCCCCUCGGACCGAGCUCCAAGCUGGGCGUUGUGCUCUGUCGCUCUCUGUGUUCCGCGGGCGCCGCGGGCGACGUCUUGCGGCUCCUCUUCACAAGGUUCAGGUGUUGGUUGUGUGCGAGCCAUGAACCGCGGCAAUGGCAAAGGCGGCGCGAGGAACGGCGGGAUGCUGGAGCUGCAACUGAACCUGUCGCCGCCUGUGAUGAUGGAUGUGGACGGCGGCCACGGCCACGACGACAGCGGGUCGUCCUCGCCGAGCUCCUGCGUGUCGUCGGAUGGCAGCCCCGGAAGCAAGUCGCCGAUGGUGAUCGGGGCCUGCACGCGGUGCCUCAUGUACUGCAUGGUGGAGAAGAAGGACUUCCCCACCUGUAUGAACUGCAAGCAGCCCUGCCUCGUGGACCUCCUCCAGCAGGGCGCUGGCGGUGGCGCCAGCGCUGGCGCCUCCGCGGACGGCGAGAAGAAGCGCGGCAGGCGCAAGUGAAGACCGCGGUGCGAGCGCGUGCCUGUCCAGUGGAUGCUCACACGGAUGGUUAGUCCACAAAUCACUCCUGAUUGGGAAUUGAUGUAGAAGCAAUAGAAGAGAUGGCAGCAAUCAAUACAUCCAAUUCAUCUGUUUCUGUAGAUAUAGAGGUAAAUUUUCAAAUGCCAAAAAAAAAAACGGCAUAUCAGUCAGACAUUGAAUGUUUUAGUGUUUGUUUCUUACAAAUAAGUGAGGAAGUAUCAGUAAAAGAUAUACCAGCCAGCAGGAUAGAUAAGUCACCUGUUUCUAUGGAUGAGGAGGUAAAAUUUGAAUACCUUCUGUUA
Molecule: RNA transcript, 836 nt
Organism: Lolium perenne
Lineage: Eukaryota; Viridiplantae; Streptophyta; Magnoliopsida; Poales; Poaceae
Gene name: protein GL2-INTERACTING REPRESSOR 2
Source: RefSeq, a predicted model, not a curated record